RNAcentral lists this ribosomal RNA (497 nucleotides) under uncultured bacterium. RNAcentral's name for it is "partial 16S ribosomal RNA". It matches the Rfam family "Bacterial small subunit ribosomal RNA", at positions 28 to 507 of the family's 1533-position model. The record is from RNAcentral.
GAUGAACGCUGGCGGCGUGCCUAAUACAUGCAAGUCGAGCGAACAGACGAGGAGCUUGCUCCUCUGACGUUAGCGGCGGACGGGUGAGUAACACGUGGAUAACCUACCUAUAAGACUGGGAUAACUUCGGGAAACCGGAGCUAAUACCGGAUAAUAUAUUGAACCUCAUGGUUCAAUAGUGAAGGACGGUUUUGCUGUCACUUAUAGAUGGAUCCGCGCCGCAUUAGCUAGUUGGUAAGGUAACGGCUUACCAAGGCAACGAUGCGUAGCCGACCUGAGAGGGUGAUCGGCCACACUGGAACUGAGACACGGUCCAGACUCCUACGGGAGGCAGCAGUAGGGAAUCUUCCGCAAUGGGCGAAAGCCUGACGGAGCAACGCCGCGUGAGUGAUGAAGGUCUUCGGAUCGUAAAACUCUGUUAUUAGGGAAGAACAAAUGUGUAAGUAACUAUGCACGUCUUGACGGUACCUAAUCAGAAAGCCACGGCUAACUACGUG